UUUGCCGGCCAUAGGGCGCGGGACCCACCCGAUCCCAUUCCGAACUCGGAAGUUAAACCGCGCUCCGUUCCCGGCAGUAGUGUGGUCUUCGGCCACGCGAACCCGGGAAAGCCGGCAGCC
This 120-nucleotide ribosomal RNA is filed under the name Candidatus Bathyarchaeota archaeon. RNAcentral also lists the same sequence under 1 other name. The record is from RNAcentral. Lineage: Archaea; Thermoproteati; Candidatus Bathyarchaeota.